GAUGGAGUUUCACUCUUGUCUCCCAGGCUGUGGGUGCAAUGGGAGAAACAGGAAAACUUUGAAGAAUCUUCCAGAUUUGCCUAACGCAGAUGUGCAUGACCUGACAAGAUAGAUGUGCCAUUUGGACCCUUUCAAGAGCAGACAGAAUGGAAGGGAGGUAAUACAGAUCAAUUACAGAUGUGGGUUGCUUUAUUUUUUUUUUUUUUAUUUUGAGGUGGAGUCUCGCUCUGUUACCCAAGCUGGAGUGCAGUGGUACAAUCUCAUCUCACUGCAACCUCCGCCUCCUGGGUUCAAGUGAUUCUCCUGCCUCAGCCUCCCAAGUAGCUGGGAUUACAGGUGUGUGCCACCACGCCUGGCUAAUUUUGUAUUUUUAGCAGGGACGGGGUUUCACUAUGUUGGCCAGGCUGGUCUUGAACUCCUGACCUCAAGUGAUCCGCCCAACUCGCACUCCCGAAGUGCUGGGAUUACAGGCGUGAACCACCGUGCCCAGCCUGUGUGUUGCUUAUUGACACCUGAGAAAGUCGACAUAAGGCAAUUCCGUCAUUGUGUGAACAUCACAGGGUGCACUUACACAGACCUAGAUGGCACAGCCUACCACACACCUAGGCCACAUGGUGUAACCUAUUGCUCCUACGCUACCAACCUGUACAGCUUGUUACCCCACUGAAUACUGUAGGCAACUGUAACAAAAUGGUAAGUGAUUGUGUAUCUAAACACUUCUUUAUCAUUAUUAUUAUACCUUAAGUUCUAGGGUACAUGUGCACAAUGUGCAGGUUUGUUACGUAAGUAUACAUGUGCCAUGUUGGUUUGCUGUACCCAUUAACUCGUCAUUUACAUUAGGUAUUUCUCCUAAUGCUAUCCCUCCCCCCUCCCCCCACCCCAUGACAGACCCCAGUGUGUGAUGUUAUCUGCCCUGUGUCCAAGUGUUCUCAUUGUUCAAUUCCCACCUAUGAGUGAGAACAUGCAGUGUUUGGUUUUCUGUCCUUGUGUUAGUUUGCUCAGAAUGAUGGUUUCCAGCUUCAUCCAUGUCCCUGCAAAGGACAUGACGUCCUCCUUUUUUAUGGCUGUAUAGUAUUCCAUGGUGUGUAUGUGCCACAUUUUCUUAAUCCAGUCUAUCAUUAAUGGAUAUUUGGGUUGGUUCCGAGUUUUUGCUAUUGUGAAUAGUGCCGCAAUAAACAUACGUGUGCAUGUGUCUUUAUAGUAGCAUGAUUUAUAAUCCUUUGGGUAUAUACCCAGUAAUGGGAUGGCUGGGUCAAGUGGUAUUUCUAGUUCUAGAUCCUUGAGGAAUCGCCA
Molecule: long non-coding RNA, 1293 nt
Filed under: Homo sapiens (human)
Lineage: Eukaryota; Metazoa; Chordata; Mammalia; Primates; Hominidae
Description: HSALNT0384267
Source: RNAcentral